This 231-nucleotide unclassified non-coding RNA is filed under the name Hevea brasiliensis (rubber tree). Lineage: Eukaryota; Viridiplantae; Streptophyta; Magnoliopsida; Malpighiales; Euphorbiaceae. The record is from RNAcentral.
UUGUUCUAUACGUUGGUAAAGCGCUGGGCCUUAGAGGUUCGAGGUUAAUUAAUGCUUAUAUUUGGAAGUUUAUUGUCCGGGACAUUAGCGUCGUUAAUAAUUUUUUAUCAUUGUUUGAGUGUGACAUAUGCCAUUUCAUGUUAUCAAAUUUGCAUUUCCUGGUGAAGGCUCUUUUUUUUCAUAGAAGGGGCUAAGUUCUUUUUUUGCUACCAUACCCAGAUGUUACAUAGG